This 1368-nucleotide ribosomal RNA is filed under the name uncultured beta proteobacterium. RNAcentral's name for it is "bacterial SSU rRNA". It matches the Rfam family "Bacterial small subunit ribosomal RNA", at positions 29 to 1393 of the family's 1533-position model. Lineage: Bacteria; Pseudomonadati; Pseudomonadota; Betaproteobacteria. The record is from RNAcentral.
UUGAACGCUGGCGGCAUGCCUUACACAUGCAAGUCGAACGGCAGCACGGGUGCUUGCACCUGGUGGCGAGUGGCGAACGGGUGAGUAAUACAUCGGAACAUGUCCUGUAGUGGGGGAUAGCCCGGCGAAAGCCGGAUUAAUACCGCAUACGAUCUACGGAUGAAAGCGGGGGACCUUCGGGCCUCGCGCUAUAGGGUUGGCCGAUGGCUGAUUAGCUAGUUGGUGGGGUAAAGGCCUACCAAGGCGACGAUCAGUAGCUGGUCUGAGAGGACGACCAGCCACACUGGGACUGAGACACGGCCCAGACUCCUACGGGAGGCAGCAGUGGGGAAUUUUGGACAAUGGGCGAAAGCCUGAUCCAGCAAUGCCGCGUGUGUGAAGAAGGCCUUCGGGUUGUAAAGCACUUUUGUCCGGAAAGAAAUCCUUGGCUCUAAUACAGUCGGGGGAUGACGGUACCGGAAGAAUAAGCACCGGCUAACUACGUGCCAGCAGCCGCGGUAAUACGUAGGGUGCGAGCGUUAAUCGGAAUUACUGGGCGUAAAGCGUGCGCAGGCGGUUUGCUAAGACCGAUGUGAAAUCCCCGGGCUCAACCUGGGAACUGCAUUGGUGACUGGCAGGCUAGAGUAUGGCAGAGGGGGGGUAGAAUUCCACGUGUAGCAGUGAAAUGCGUAGAGAUGUGGAGGAAUACCGAUGGCGAAAGGCAGCCCCCUGGGCCAAUACUGACGCUCAUGCACGAAAGCGUGGGGGAGCAAACAGGAUUAGAUACCCUGGUAGUCCACGCCCUAAACGAUGUCAACUAGUUGUUGGGGAUUCAUUUCCUUAGUAACGUAGCUAACGCGUGAAGUUGACCGCCUGGGGAGUACGGUCGCAAGAUUAAAACUCAAAGGAAUUGACGGGGACCCGCACAAGCGGUGGAUGAUGUGGAUUAAUUCGAUGCAACGCGAAAAACCUUACCUACCCUUGACAUGGUCGGAAUCCUGCUGAGAGGUGGGAGUGCUCGAAAGAGAACCGGCGCACAGGUGCUGCAUGGCUGUCGUCAGCUCGUGUCGUGAGAUGUUGGGUUAAGUCCCGCAACGAGCGCAACCCUUGUCCUUAGUUGCUACGCAAGAGCACUCUAAGGAGACUGCCGGUGACAAACCGGAGGAAGGUGGGGAUGACGUCAAGUCCUCAUGGCCCUUAUGGGUAGGGCUUCACACGUCAUACAAUGGUCGGAACAGAGGGUUGCCAACCCGCGAGGGGGAGCUAAUCCCAGAAAACCGAUCGUAGUCCGGAUUGCACUCUGCAACUCGAGUGCAUGAAGCUGGAAUCGCUAGUAAUCGCGGAUCAGCAUGCCGCGGUGAAUACGUUCCCGGGUCUUGUACUCACCGC